AUGGAAGAUUGCCUUGAUGACUUCAUGGCUCGUCUUGACCACGAGGGCGGUGGGCAUACAGGCCUCAAGGGGUUCUUUGACAAGCUAAAGAAGCUCAAACCAAGUCAUGAGAUCGCUGUCGAGAUCGAAAAGCUCAAGGCCCGGGCUAUCGAGGCAAGCAAGAGGCACAAGAGGUAUAAAAAUGACUUCCCAAUACCCAACUCUAUCACCUCUGAAAUUGAUCCCAGGCUGCAUGCACUUUAUGUGGAUGUUGGUAAGAUUGUGGGCAUGGACGAUCCUAAGAAGCAUAUCAUUGAGCGGCUUGAGAAUGAAGAUGUUUCUACACCGCUUCAAGUGGUGUCGAUUGUUGGUACAGGUGGUCUUGGUAAGACUACCCUAGCAAAUGCAGUCUACCAAGCCAUUAAAGGUGAAUUCUCAUGUUCAGCACUUGUGUCGGUUUCUCGAAAGCCUAACAUGAAAAAUGUUCUAAGAGAUAUUUCUGAGAGAGUGGGGAUCUCUCACAGCACUUCCAAUGAUGACGAGCGGCGACUUAUUGAUCGGCUCCGAGACCACCUUCAGAACGAAAAGUACCUUAUCGUGAUCGACGAUAUCUGGAGCACUGAAGCAUGGGAAACCAUAAGGGAUGCCUUACUGAAUAAUGAUCAUGGGAGCGGAAUUAUCACUACAACACAUAAAAUAACAGAGCUUCCAAGUAAAAUUGGAGAUCUGCAGUAUUUAGAAACACUGGACAUCAGAGGUGCCAAAAAUGUAGGACGACUACCGUCAACUAUUACACGGCUUCAACGAUUGACCCGUCUAUAUGUUAACUACAUCAGGUUGUCCGAGCCAUUGGAAAGUUGCACUGAUUUAUCUGAUGGAGUGAUUGGACAGUUGCAGAGCUUGGAAGACCUAGAGAGUGUUCUUGUCUUCCCAUCGCAAAUAAAGAUGUAUCUGCAAGAGCUCGAUCAGUUAACCAAUCUAAGGACAUUGAAUGUAAUUAUGUUGUAUCCACCUCAUUUUUGUCAUGCUGAUGGAUCUGAUGAUGUUGAAAGAUUUGUAGGGACUUUAAUAUCUUCAUACAAUCUUCAUCAUCUACGUGUCGAUUAUAUGUGUGAAUAUGGAACUCUGGGCCUACUGUCCCUGGAAUCAUGGUGCCCUGCUACUCCUUCUGUACUCCGGGAGAUCUCCAUCACUAAUUACCACAUCGACAAGGUUCCGAAUUGGAUGAUCUCCCUUGUGAAUCUUAGGGCGUUAGACAUAUCCUUGUACCGUAUGGGACCAGAAGAUGUCGAGAUCCUUGGAGCUAUGCCCGCUCUGUUUUUCCUUUAG
Molecule: ribosomal RNA, 1308 nt
Filed under: Triticum aestivum (bread wheat)
Lineage: Eukaryota; Viridiplantae; Streptophyta; Magnoliopsida; Poales; Poaceae
Description: partial small subunit ribosomal RNA
Source: RNAcentral